GUGUGACCCAUGGGCUUCCCUUUGUCAUCCUAUGCCUGAGAAUACUGGAGAGGCAGGGACAGCAAAGGGAUGCUCAGAAUUCACCCAC
RNAcentral lists this microRNA precursor (88 nucleotides) under Xenopus laevis (African clawed frog). Its description in RNAcentral is "mir-204 microRNA precursor family". It matches the Rfam family "mir-204 microRNA precursor family". The record is from Rfam by way of RNAcentral. Lineage: Eukaryota; Metazoa; Chordata; Amphibia; Anura; Pipidae.